CCUACGGGUGGCAGCAGUAAGGAAUAUUGGACAAUGGUCGAAAGACUGAUCCAGCCAUGCCGCGUGCAGGAUGAAGGUGCUCUGCACUGUAAACUGCUUUUGUUCGGGAAUAAACCCCUUCACGUGUGGAGGGCUGAAUGUACCGAAAGAAUAAGGGACGGCUAACUUCGUGCCAGCAGCCGCGGUAAUACGAAGGUCCCAAGCGUUAUCCGGAUUUAUUGGGUUUAAAGGGUGCGUAGGCGGAUUGUUAAGUCAGUGGUGAAAGCCGACAGCUCAACUGUCGAAUUGCCAUUGAUACUGACGAUCUUGAGUGUGGUUGAGGUGGGCGGAAUGUAUCAUGUAGCGGUGAAAUGCUUAGAUAUGAUACAGAACACCGAUUGCGAAGGCAGCUCACUAAGCCACUACUGACGCUGAGGCACGAAAGCGUGGGGAGCAAACAGGAUUAGAUACCCUGGUAGUC
Molecule: ribosomal RNA, 460 nt
Filed under: uncultured bacterium
Lineage: Bacteria
Description: bacterial SSU rRNA
Rfam family: Bacterial small subunit ribosomal RNA
Source: RNAcentral